AACGGACGAGAAGCUUGCUUCUCUGAUGUUAGCGGCGGACGGGUGAGUAACACGUGGAUAACCUACCUAUAAGACUGGGAUAACUUCGGGAAACCGGAGCUAAUACCGGAUAAUAUUUUGAACCGCAUGGUUCAAAAGUGAAAGACGGUCUUGCUGUCACUUAUAGAUGGAUCCGCGCUGCAUUAGCUAGUUGGUAAGGUAACGGCUUACCAAGGCAACGAUGCAUAGCCGACCUGAGAGGGUGAUCGGCCACACUGGAACUGAGACACGGUCCAGACUCCUACGGGAGGCAGCAGUAGGGAAUCUUCCGCAAUGGGCGAAAGCCUGACGGAGCAACGCCGCGUGAGUGAUGAAGGUCUUCGGAUCGUAAAACUCUGUUAUUAGGGAAGAACAUAUGUGUAAGUAACUGUGCACAUCUUGACGGUACCUAAUCAGAAAGCCACGGCUAACUACGUGCCAGCAGCCGCGGUAAUACGUAGGUGGCAAGCGUUAUCCGGAAUUAUUGGGCGUAAAGCGCGCGUAGGCGGUUUUUUAAGUCUGAUGUGAAAGCCCACGGCUCAACCGUGGAGGGUCAUUGGAAACUGGAAAACUUGAGUGCAGAAGAGGAAAGUGGAAUUCCAUGUGUAGCGGUGAAAUGCGCAGAGAUAUGGAGGAACACCAGUGGCGAAGGCGACUUUCUGGUCUGUAACUGACGCUGAUGUGCGAAAGCGUGGGGAUCAAACAGGAUUAGAUACCCUGGUAGUCCACGCCGUAAACGAUGAGUGCUAAGUGUUAGGGGGUUUCCGCCCCUUAGUGCUGCAGCUAACGCAUUAAGCACUCCGCCUGGGGAGUACGACCGCAAGGUUGAAACUCAAAGGAAUUGACGGGGACCCGCACAAGCGGUGGAGCAUGUGGUUUAAUUCGAAGCAACGCGAAGAACCUUACCAAAUCUUGACAUCCUU
RNAcentral lists this ribosomal RNA (941 nucleotides) under Staphylococcus aureus. Its description in RNAcentral is "bacterial SSU rRNA". It matches the Rfam family "Bacterial small subunit ribosomal RNA", at positions 65 to 991 of the family's 1533-position model. The record is from RNAcentral. Lineage: Bacteria; Bacillati; Bacillota; Bacilli; Caryophanales; Staphylococcaceae.